UUCUUUUCUGGACCAACAACUACUGACACAGAUGGACUUAUAUUUUAUUUAUUUUAUUAACUCCUGAACAUCCCAUUGUCCUGUUUACUCAUUGUACUGACGACUUCACCUAAAACUCAUAGAAAAUACAGAGGCACAUUAAAAACACCAGUUUGUUAUUAUUGUAAAUAAUUAUUGUGUGUUUGUUUGACAAGUUGAUUAAAUCCUGAGCAUGUUGUAAUGUGUGAUAAUGAAAUAUAAAGAUUUCUGUACUUUUCUAUCAACUCUUUGACUCUUUUUCUGCUUUGAUGUACUUUUUUCAUAAAUAAAAGUAAUGCUUUUGAUACUGCUUUCAACAGUUAGUGAAUAAAUAUUUCAGUCACUGCGUC
Long non-coding RNA from Sphaeramia orbicularis (orbiculate cardinalfish), 368 nucleotides. RefSeq lists it as uncharacterized. Lineage: Eukaryota; Metazoa; Chordata; Actinopteri; Kurtiformes; Apogonidae. The transcript is spliced from 2 exons. The record is from RefSeq and is a predicted model, not a curated record.